GUUGUAGCUCAGUGGAAGAGCGCUUGCCUAGCAUGCAUGAGGCACUGGGUUUGAUUCUCAGCACCAUA
Molecule: transfer RNA, 68 nt
Filed under: Marmota monax (woodchuck)
Lineage: Eukaryota; Metazoa; Chordata; Mammalia; Rodentia; Sciuridae
Description: tRNA.Ala
Rfam family: tRNA (bases 3-63)
About the family: Transfer RNA (tRNA) molecules are approximately 80 nucleotides in length.
Source: RNAcentral